RNAcentral lists this ribosomal RNA (750 nucleotides) under uncultured bacterium. RNAcentral describes it as "bacterial SSU rRNA". It matches the Rfam family "Bacterial small subunit ribosomal RNA", at positions 41 to 754 of the family's 1533-position model. The record is from RNAcentral.
GGGGGGUCUAAAUGCAAGUCGAGCGAGCUUGCCUAGAUGAUUUUAGUGCUUGCACUAAAUGAAACUAGAUACAAGCGAUCGGCGGACGGGUGAGUAACACGUGGGUAACCUGCCCAAGAGACUGGGAUAACACCUGGAAACAGAUGCUAAUACCGGAUAACAACACUAGACGCAUGUCUAGAGUUUGAAAGAUGGUUCUGCUAUCACUCUUGGAUGGACCUGCGGUGCAUUAGCUAGUUGGUAAGGUAACGGCUUACCAAGGCAAUGAUGCAUAGCCGAGUUGAGAGACUGAUCGGCCACAUUGGGAUUGAGACACGGCCCAAACUCCUACGGGAGGCAGCAGUAGGGAAUCUUCCACAAUGGACGAAAGUCUGAUGGAGCAACGCCGCGUGAGUGAAGAAGGGUUUCGGCUCGUAAAGCUCUGUUGGUAGUGAAGAAAGAUAGAGGUAGUAACUGGCCUUUAUUUGACGGUAAUUACUUAGAAAGUCACGGCUAACUACGUGCCAGCAGCCGCGGUAAUACGUAGGUGGCAAGCGUUGUCCGGAUUUAUUGGGCGUAAAGCGAGUGCAGGCGGUUCAAUAAGUCUGAUGUGAAAGCCUUCGGCUCAACCGGAGAAUUGCAUCAGAAACUGUUGAACUUGAGUGCAGAAGAGGAGAGUGGAACUCCAUGUGUAGCGGUGGAAUGCGUAGAUAUAUGGAAGAACACCAGUGGCGAAGGCGGCUCUCUGGUCUGCAACUGACGCUGAGGCUC